ACUCGAGUGGCGAACGGGUGAGUAACACGUGGGUGAUCUGCCCUGCACUUCGGGAUAAGCCUGGGAAACUGGGUCUAAUACCGGAUAGGAGCCAUUUUUAGUGUGAUGGUUGGAAAGUUUUUCGGUGUAGGAUGAGCUCACGGCCUAUCAGCUUGUUGGUGGGGUAAUGGCCUACCAAGGCGGCGACGGGUAGCCGGCCUGAGAGGGUGGACGGCCACAUUGGGACUGAGAUACGGCCCAG
RNAcentral lists this ribosomal RNA (241 nucleotides) under uncultured Actinomycetales bacterium. RNAcentral describes it as "partial 16S ribosomal RNA". It matches the Rfam family "Bacterial small subunit ribosomal RNA", at positions 89 to 334 of the family's 1533-position model. The record is from RNAcentral. Lineage: Bacteria; Bacillati; Actinomycetota; Actinomycetes; Actinomycetales.